AUCAGAGAUCCAAAACUAUUUACAAGUACAAAGUACUAAAAUAAAUGCAAACUAGAUUCUUAUUGCAUGAAUUGAGUAACUAAUCAUCUCAUGCUAGUAUCCUAUCUAUGACAAGUAAAGCCAACUCAACGAGCAUAUAUCUAGUAUCAUGAUUUAACUUAUGCUCUUUAAGUGCAGACUGCAGCCUUUUAUGGCUUUUUAUGGUUUAACUAUGCGGUCAACCUUUUAAGGACUUCACAAAAUCCCAGGAUUUGAAAAAGUUGACCAAGAGAUGAGGUAAAGAGAAACCUCAACAGCAGGGAAAUAGCUGUGUAGUAUCAUGAGCAUACAACGAUUUUAGUUUCAAAUAGUGUUAAAUUUGGAAAGAGUGUUAAUCAAAUAAUAAUUUAAUUCAUUUUAAUUCAAACUUAUAUAAGUAAUUAGAUUUCUUUACACAUCAAAA
RNAcentral lists this unclassified non-coding RNA (442 nucleotides) under Hevea brasiliensis (rubber tree). Lineage: Eukaryota; Viridiplantae; Streptophyta; Magnoliopsida; Malpighiales; Euphorbiaceae. The record is from RNAcentral.